UGGUUCUGGCAUCGAUGAAGAACGCAGCGAAAUGCGAUAAGUAAUGUGAAUUGCAGAAUUUAGUGAAUCAUCGAAUCUUUGAACGCACAUUGCGCCUUUUGGUAUUCCGAGAGGCAUUCCUGUUCGAGCGUCGUUUUCAUACUUCAAGCAGAAGCUUGGUGUUGAGGUAUUUCGAAUAGAAAGCCUCGAAACUCUUUGGCACCUUCUGUCGAAGUCCAACGUGACAGAAAUCAUCUCGUUCGGCAUCUGCAGAUCAGGUCAGCCUUGUAUACGAAUUCAUGACCUCGGAUCAGGAAGGGUUACCCGCUGA
RNAcentral lists this unclassified non-coding RNA (310 nucleotides) under uncultured fungus. Its description in RNAcentral is "partial contains 5.8S ribosomal RNA and internal transcribed spacer 2". The stretch from base 1 to 133 matches the Rfam family "5.8S ribosomal RNA", at positions 22 to 154 of the family's 154-position model. The record is from RNAcentral. Lineage: Eukaryota; Fungi.